AAGCUCAUUACAACAGCCAUAGUUUAUUGGAUCUUUACCUUCUUACACGGAUAACUGCGGUAAUUCUGGAGCUACUACGUGCAUUAAACGACGACCUUACGGAAGUCGUGCAUUUGUUAGACCAAACCAAUCGGUCUUCGGACCGCCAUUUGGUGAACUCUGAAUAACUUUGCUGAUCGCACAGUCUCGUACUGGCGACAAAUCUUUCAAGUGUCUGCCUUAUCAACUUUCGAUGGUAGUUUAUACGCCUACCAUGGUUGUAACGGGUAACGGAGAAUAAGGGUUCGACUCCGGAGAGGGAGCCUGAGAAACGGCUACCACAUCCGAGGAAGGCAGCAGGCGCGCAAAUUACCCACUCGCAGAACGCGGAGGUAGUGACGAAAAAUAACGAGGUGGCUCUCUACGAGGUCCGCCAUCGGAAUGGGUACAAUUUAAAUCCUUUAACGAGGAUCUAUUGGAGGGCAAGUCUGGUGCCAGCAGCCGCGGUAAUUCCAGCUCCAAUAGCGUAUAUUAAAGUUGUUGCGGUUAAAAAGCUCGUAGUUGGAUCUGCGUUCGGUGAAAGCGGUCGCCCGACGGGUUGUACUGCUUCUCCCGAACUAAUCAUUCGGUUUUCCCUUGAUGCUCUUCAUUGAGUGUCCUGGGUGACCGGAACUUUUACUUUGAAAAAAUUAGAGUGCUCAAAGCAGGCGAUUCGCCCGAAUAUUCGUGCAUGGAAUAAUGAAAAAGGUCCUUGUAGCCUUUUAUUGGUUAUUGCUAUGAGGAAAUGAUCGAAGGGGACAGACGGGGGCAUUUGUAUUGCGACGUUAGAGGUGAAAUUCUUGGAUCGUCGCA
Molecule: ribosomal RNA, 831 nt
Filed under: Paratrichodorus allius
Lineage: Eukaryota; Metazoa; Nematoda; Enoplea; Triplonchida; Trichodoridae
Description: SSU rRNA
Rfam family: Eukaryotic small subunit ribosomal RNA
Source: RNAcentral